RNAcentral lists this long non-coding RNA (245 nucleotides) under Mus spicilegus (steppe mouse). Its description in RNAcentral is "lncRNA (ENSMSIG00000028571.1)". The record is from RNAcentral. Lineage: Eukaryota; Metazoa; Chordata; Mammalia; Rodentia; Muridae.
AAAACACUUGUAUGGAAGCAGGUAGUAGGCUGGAUAAGAGUCAUGCUCAUAGUUUGUCAGCUUCUGGUUUAAAUCGACAGGACCUACAAGUGUGAAUUAAUAGAACUGUGGAUGAAGGCAUUCCUUGAAAGUGGUGGCCUCUGGAAAACUGUAAAGUUCAUCAUGUGGCUCCAACCAUUUACCACGUGCAGAUCUUGAAACACACAGCAGACAUCUGUGACGUUUCUCAGUUUAGGAGGAUCUAA